RNAcentral lists this ribosomal RNA (432 nucleotides) under uncultured bacterium. Its description in RNAcentral is "partial 16S ribosomal RNA". It matches the Rfam family "Bacterial small subunit ribosomal RNA", at positions 28 to 507 of the family's 1533-position model. The record is from RNAcentral.
GAUGAACGCUGGCGGUAUGCUUAACACAUGCAAGUCGAACGGUCACUUCGGUGAUGGUGGCGGACGGGGGAGUAACGCGUGAGAAUCUGUCUUCAGGUCGGGGACAACAGUUAGAAAUGACUGCUAAUACCGGAUGUGCCUUUGGGUGAAAGAUGUAUUGCCUGAAAAGGAGCUCGCGUCAGAUUAGCUAGUAGGUGGUGUAAGCGACUACCUAGGCUCCGAUCUGUAGCUGGUCUGAGAGGACGAUCAGCCACACUGGAACUGAGACACGGUCCAGACUUCUACGGGAGGCAGCAGUGGGGAAUUCUCCGCAAUGGGCGAAAGCCUGACGGAGCAAUACCGCGUGAGGGACUAAGGCUUUUGGGUCGUAAACCUCUUUUCUCAAGGAAGAUGAUGACGGUACUUGAGGAAUAAGCAUCGGCUAACUCUGUG